ACAUGUGCGCAUAGAAGAUAUGGAGGAGUCCUUCUCUUGGAAGGAACUCCACACCAAGAAUUGAAUUGGGACGUCCCUUGUAUUUGGGCGAUGACAUAUGAUGAGUCCAUGUCACAUGGAACUCUUAAUUCUUCCUUUUAUUUCACAGAUCAUUUGAUGGUUUUUGGUUUUUAUGGGCAAAGAAGAGAAAGGAGAGUCCUUCUUCUGGAAGGAGUUUGAAUGCCACAAAUAAAUGAAAGUCUUUUAUUUAUGCA
RNAcentral lists this long non-coding RNA (254 nucleotides) under Elaeis guineensis (African oil palm). RNAcentral describes it as "long non-coding RNA (EGUI_LNC042389)". The record is from RNAcentral. Lineage: Eukaryota; Viridiplantae; Streptophyta; Magnoliopsida; Arecales; Arecaceae.